GACGAACGCUGGCGGCGUGCUUAACACAUGCAAGUCGAACGGAAAGGCCCUGCUUUUGUGGGGUGCUCGAGUGGCGAACGGGUGAGUAACACGUGAGUAACCUGCCCUUGACUUUGGGAUAACUUCAGGAAACUGGGGCUAAUACAGGAUAGGAGCUCCUGCUGCAUGGUGGGGGUGGGAAAGUUUCGGCGGUUGGGGAUGGACUCGCGGCUUAUCAGCUUGUUGGUGGGGUAGUGGCUUACCAGGGCUUUGACGGGUAGCCGGCCUGAGCGGGUGACCGGCCACAUUGGGACUGAGAUGCGGCCCAGACUCCUACGGGAGGCAGCAGUGGGGGCUAGUGCACUGUGGGCGGGAGCCUGGUGCAGCGGCGCCGCGUGGGUUGUGACGGCCUUCGGGUUGUGAACCGCUUUCGCCUGUGACGAAGCGUGAGUGACGGUAAUGGGUAAAGAAGCACCGGCUAACUACGUG
This 468-nucleotide ribosomal RNA is filed under the name uncultured bacterium. RNAcentral's name for it is "partial 16S ribosomal RNA". It matches the Rfam family "Bacterial small subunit ribosomal RNA", at positions 28 to 507 of the family's 1533-position model. The record is from RNAcentral.